GCACCCCGGGAGCCGAGCAUUAUAGAAUGAAGAGGACCAGGGACAAGUCAGAUUCCCAGGGCCUCUGAGGAGCAGAACAAGAUCGCUUUGGCCAGACACAAUCAGGAUUGGUUAUGGAAUUAAGCCAGCUUCCAGAACUGGAGGUGAGACAAGACUGGCUUCCCAAGUGGCUCAGAGGUAAAGAAUCCACCUGCCAAUGCAGAAGACACAGGAGACAUGGGUUCCAUCCCUGGAUCAGGAAGAUUCCCUGGAGGAAGAAGUGGCAACCCACUUCAGUAUUCUUGCCUGGGAAAUCCCAUGGAUGGAGGAGCCUGGUGAGAUACAGUCCACAGGGUUGCAAAGAGUCGGACACGACUUAGUGACUGAGCAGGUACACAGAGAAGACUGAGUUCAGUUUACCUGGGUUCUCUGGUUGCUACUAACCUAGGUCCAUCUUGUUCACCAUCAGGGAUCUCAUUCUAAUGUUGGAGUUUAAGAUGCUGUUCACCUAACCCUGAGGCAGGCUUAGUAUCUCAGUACCAGGUUUCCCUUAUAGUAACUCCAGAUUUUAAUUUUUCUUACUCCUCUCCAGCUUCAACUCAUGGUGUGCUCUCUCUGUCUGGUAAUGUAAACCUGAGGUUUUUCCUUACUUUCUUGUGGGUCCAGAAGAAUAUUUUCCAGAUCAUGGGCUGUAGUUUAUCAAAUAACCAGAUAUAUUUUAGCUUUUGUAUCUUAUCAUCCAGAUUAUCUUGACAUACUACUUUCUCCAGUCGCUCUGUUGGCUGAUUUGAAUUGUAGUCAUUUCUUCCCUUUAUCUGGUCUGACAUGCACCAUGGUUUAUAAAAGCUGUUAAGUUUUUCUACUUUUAAGGGAAAUCUUCCAUAUUUUCUAACAUAGAUACAUAUUUUACCCUUAAAACUUUUUUCUUGGGUCAUUUCAAUAGUUUUAGGAAUAUAGAGUUGUUGAACAAAUAAG
RNAcentral lists this long non-coding RNA (954 nucleotides) under Bos indicus x Bos taurus (hybrid cattle). Its description in RNAcentral is "lncRNA (ENSBIXG00000021064.1)". Lineage: Eukaryota; Metazoa; Chordata; Mammalia; Artiodactyla; Bovidae. The record is from RNAcentral.